Molecule: long non-coding RNA, 1094 nt
Filed under: Sus scrofa (pig)
Lineage: Eukaryota; Metazoa; Chordata; Mammalia; Artiodactyla; Suidae
Description: lncRNA (ENSSSCG00015029853.1)
Source: RNAcentral
GGAGGUUUCACCUGCAGCUACAACUAGACCCCUAACCUGGGAACUUCCCUAGGCCCCAGGGGUGGCCUUAAAAAAAUAAAAGUUUGCCAUUCAAAGGUCAGUCUCCCACAGGAGCUCGCCACACAUGUAGGAUCAGAGAACCACAAUCUGCCCCCCGCCCCCAUGCUGUCGGCACUGAACGCAAGCAGACAAUGGUGUGGACCUGCUACCAGGACGCUCCCCGCCUCCCCUCUGCCCUGGGGGCCGCCCCGCUCCGCGUCUCACCCCCAGACCCAGCACGGCCUGUGAUCCACCCCCCCACCUCCGAGGUGUUCUCAGCAAAGACCCCAGGCCCGGGGCCUCCAUCUAAGCUGGGCCAGGACAGCAGGAAGGAGCAGGCCUUGCAGGGCGUCCAGCCACCCAGGGACGCGGUACAGGCGCAGGAGGACCAGCCUAGGGGGCGAAACUGAGUUGGGGGAGCUCUGAGAAAUGCCCCAGGGCAAGGCCGUGCCUGCAACCACCAGAAUGCGGACGCCCAGGCCCCCUGAAGCCUUGGGGCUGAGCGAUCUGUCAAGCGCAUCCUCAAGGCCACAGCGGGCCACAGGCCCGAGCAGGAAACGGCCACCCACAGGGCAGGUACGAACCCCCAACUGGAGACUCAGCAAUGGGUCUGAGGGGGUGGGGCUCCCUCUCACAGGCUCUCUGCUGGAAGCCACCAUCCGGUCCUACCUGCUCCAGGACACACAGGGUGGAGGGCCUGUGCACCCAGGUGCCCACUCAGCCUCUGGCCACGGGUUCCUGUGCCCCGGCCAGGCCAUACCGACCCCCUUCCGGCCACAGACAGCGGGGGGCUGCUCGGGUGACCCGAGCCAGCAGGCACUCAAACCCUUGGCAGGAUGCCCCACAGGUCCCUGGGGAGCAAAUGGGCCUGCGUGGUUACAGGAACUUGGCUCAGGGCCUGGCACCAGCCAGCGCCCACUGGCAGUGAGCCGUGGCCGCUGUUUAUUACAUGACCCACCCUUCCUGCACCCCCCCGUCCCUGGGGAACCGUCCCAGAAGACACUUCCCACAGCCGCAGGGAGGGCCACUGGAGCCCCAGAACCCUCUACGGGAAA